RNAcentral lists this long non-coding RNA (427 nucleotides) under Elaeis guineensis (African oil palm). RNAcentral's name for it is "long non-coding RNA (EGUI_LNC025145)". Lineage: Eukaryota; Viridiplantae; Streptophyta; Magnoliopsida; Arecales; Arecaceae. The record is from RNAcentral.
UUUUUCUCCUUUACGUUUCCAUAAAUUUCUCUUUUUUUCCUCCCUUCUCUCCUCCUUCUAAUUGAUUUCUCCUAGUGUUUCAAUAUAAGAAAUUUUUUUCCUCAAUUUUUAACCCUUAAAUUCUCUUAGAUAUAUUUGUAUUGGCUGCUUUACCAACCAAUUCUUGAUUGGAAUCUCAGAAGGCUAUCUCUCAUUGCCAUCUUUUCCUACAAGGGAUGAGAAUGUGGCUACCGAAGAUAUCUUUAUAAUCAAGUCCGGCACACCGAGUAUCACUACUUUGUUUGGAGCUCAAAAAUACUGUUGUCAUUAAUAGUGGUGGUAGUGGUGACCCAAUAGAAGAAGGUUCUUCUAGUAAGUAACAUCACCGACUUGGCGAUCAGAAGAGUUGCGGCAUAUGAGAGAAGAGGAUCAAAGGAGGAGAGGAAGG